GCUCUAAUUUCUACCAUAGAGUUAUCGCGGGCUAGCACGACUUCUCAUUCUACGGGCCAUAGCGACUACCGGCGCUUUCCUGCCAUUAUCGGAUGUUGAAUGUCUAUGCUUCCCUUUCCCGCGUCUUUUCUCCGAGGGCAUGCUGGGAAACGUUAUUAAAGAAACCCACCUUCCGUUUCAUUGGUCUUUCCUGUGCGGAGCUCAGCAAGGUGGUAAGUCUCGGCGGGAGCUGUUAGGGAGAAGGAUUACUACAGAAUUGGUGGAAAGAAGAAGGUGCUUUAGUAAUUGACUACAGAAUUCAUCUGCAACUGACAAAUUGAUGUACAGUAUUUCAAAGUUUUAUAUUUCAAUAAAAAUACUUUAAACACUGAA
Molecule: long non-coding RNA, 372 nt
Organism: Thamnophis elegans (Western terrestrial garter snake)
Lineage: Eukaryota; Metazoa; Chordata; Lepidosauria; Squamata; Natricidae
Exons: 2
Source: RefSeq, a predicted model, not a curated record